This 508-nucleotide ribosomal RNA is filed under the name uncultured microorganism. RNAcentral's name for it is "bacterial SSU rRNA". It matches the Rfam family "Bacterial small subunit ribosomal RNA", at positions 9 to 511 of the family's 1533-position model. The record is from RNAcentral.
GAGUUUGAUCGUGGCUCAGGAUGAACGCUGGCGGCGUGCCUAACACAUGCAAGUCGAACGGAGUUCUUAAGGAAUGCGGCUUCGGCCAAAUGACUUUUGAACUUAGUGGCGGACGGGUGAGUAACGCGUGAGCAACCUGCCUUUCAGAGGGGGAUAACAUUUGGAAACAGAUGCUAAUACCGCAUAAGAUUACAGUACCGCAUGAUACAGUGAUCAAAGGAGCAAUCCGCUGAAAAGAUGGGCUCGCGUCCGAUUAGAUAGUUGGUGAGGUAACGGCUCACCAAGUCGACGAUCGGUAGCCGGACUGAGAGGUUGAACGGCCACAUUGGGACUGAGACACGGCCCAGACUCCUACGGGAGGCAGCAGUGGGGAACAUUGCACAAUGGGCGAAAAGCCUGAUGCAGCAACGCCGCGUGAGGGAAGACGGUUUUCGGAUUGUAAACCUCUGUUUCGGUGACGAACAAAUGACGGUAACCGAGUAGGAAGCCACGGCUAACUACGUGCCAG